UGGAGGUCUUCUUGGUUCACGGUGGCUCCUAGGCAGCUGGGCGGCUUGGGUUCUUGGAGAGGAAGGGGAGGAGAGCUGGUAGCAAGCCUGAAUGGUCCCCUUUGCUAAGCAGGAUCCAUCCUGGUUUACAUCGGAAGGGGAGACUACAUCAUGUGAGCCCUGUAAGAUAUUCCCCCCUCAGGGGAUGGAGGGGCCGCUCCGGGAAGUGCAUCUGCAGGCUUGCAUGCAGAAGGUUCCAGAUUCCCUCCCUGGCAGCAUCUCCAAGAUCGGGCUGAGAGAGGCUCCUGCCUGCAAUCUUGGAGAAGCCGCUGCCCGUCCAAGGAGACAAUCUGGAGCUAGAUGGACCAAGGGUCUGACUCAGUAUAUGGCAGCUUCCAGGGUGUGUGGCGCCAUGGAUAUAAAGAGCCAAGCUGACCAAGGAAAGAAACUACUAGCCAGAGCAGCCAGGGACUGUGGAAGCCACGGAGGGACAGCAGCAUCCCGCUGAGAAGGCAAAGCAUUGAGGACCUUCCUGUAUUCCUCGGUAACCACUGGAAAAGCAUUCAAGACUCUACAAAAAUGGAUUGCGAGAACGCCUGACCUGAGAAAUUGACACAAGAUUGAGCGGAGGUGAAUGCACUGUUUAACGAGAAGAAGGCAGAUCACCAAAGACGGCGGAAGUCCUGUGAUGAGGUUGGGAGGUCGGGAGAAGCUAAGAAGAAGGAGAGAAGAGACUCUACAGUGGGAGAACCACUUUGGGAAGAGCAGGAUCAGCCCCUUUAUCAUUUCGGUUUGCCUCUUCUGCUGCAGCUUCUUCAGUUCGACAGUAUGGCUUUUUUGGUAAUCUGG
Molecule: long non-coding RNA, 828 nt
Organism: Hemicordylus capensis (graceful crag lizard)
Lineage: Eukaryota; Metazoa; Chordata; Lepidosauria; Squamata; Cordylidae
Exons: 3
Source: RefSeq, a predicted model, not a curated record